RNAcentral lists this ribosomal RNA (282 nucleotides) under uncultured bacterium. RNAcentral's name for it is "partial 16S ribosomal RNA". It matches the Rfam family "Bacterial small subunit ribosomal RNA", at positions 773 to 1060 of the family's 1533-position model. The record is from RNAcentral.
GUGGAUUAGAUACCCGGGUAGUCCACGCCGUAAACGAUGCUAACUCGUUUUUGGGGCCUUGGCUUCAGAGACUAAGCGAAAGUGAUAAGUUAGCCACCUGGGGAGUACGUUCGCAAGAAUGAAACUCAAAGGAAUUGACGGGGGCCCGCACAAGCGGUGGAGCAUGUGGUUUAAUUCGAUGAUACGCGAGGAACCUUACCAAGACUUAAAUGGGAAAUGACAGGUUUAGAAAUAGAUCCUUCUUCGGACAUUUUUCAAGGUGCUGCACGGUCGUCGACAGCU